This 1129-nucleotide ribosomal RNA is filed under the name uncultured organism. RNAcentral's name for it is "bacterial SSU rRNA". It matches the Rfam family "Bacterial small subunit ribosomal RNA", at positions 87 to 1216 of the family's 1533-position model. The record is from RNAcentral.
GCCGACGAGUGGCGCACGGGUGAGUAACGCGUAGGUAAGCUACCAUUAGGUUAGGGAUAGCCCUACGAAAGUAGGAUUAAUACCUUUUAUACUUGUUAUACUUAAGUAUAAUAAGGAAAGGCUUUUGCCGCCUUUUGAUGUGCCUGCGUUGGAUUAGCUUGUUGGUGGGGUAACGGCUCACCAAGGCGACGAUCUAUAGCCGAGCUGAGAGGCUGAUCGGCCACAUUGGAACUGAGACACGGUCCAGACUCCUACGGGAGGCAGCAGCUAAGAAUCUUCCGCAAUAGACGAAAGUCUGACGGAGCGACGCCGCGUGAAUGAUGAAGGCCCUUCGGGUUGUAAAGUUCUUUUAUAGGGGAAGAAAGUUUGGUGUAGUCCAAUCUGACGGUACCCUCUGAAUAAGGUCCGGCUAACUACGUGCCAGCAGCCGCGGUAAUACGUAGGGACCUAGCGUUGUUCGGAAUUAUUGGGCGUAAAGGGUACGUAGGCGGCUUAGUAAGUCGGAUGUGAAAGUCUCGGGCUCAACCUGAGGAUUGCGUCCGAUACUGCUGAGCUAGAGUUAUGGAGAGGAAGGCGGAAUUCCUGGUGUAGGGGUGAAAUCUAUAGAUAUCAGGAAGAACAUCGGUUGCGAAGGCUGCCUUCUGGACAUAAACUGACGCUGAUGUACGAAAGUUAGGGUAGCAAACAGGAUUAGAGACCCUGGUAGUCCUAACCGUAAACGUUGUAUACUAGGUGGUGGGAGUAAUGAUCCUUUCACUGCCGGAGCUAACGCAUUAAGUAUACCGCCUGGGGAGUAUGCCGGCAACGGUGAAACUCAAAGGAAUUGACGGGGGCCCGCACAAGCAGUGGAGCAUGUUGUUUAAUUCGAUGAUACGCGAGUAACCUUACCAGGUCUUGACAUAUACUUGAAUGGCAUGGAAACAUGUCAGCUUUUCGGAGCAGGUAUACAGGUGCUGCAUGGUUGUCGUCAGCUCGUGCCGUGAGGUGUUGGGUUAAGUCCCGCAACGAGCGCAACCCUUAUUCUUUGUUGCUAACGUGUAAUGGCGAGCACUCUAAGGAGACUGCCGGUGACAAACCGGAGGAAGGUGGGGAUGACGUCAAAUCAUCACGGCCCUUACGACCUGGGCUA